GGAGAGGAGGUGAGGGGGGGGGGUAAACAGGCGAGGAGGUGAGGGGUGAAGGUUGAGGAGUACAGGGAGGGGGUGAAAUGAGAGGUCAGUGAGAGAAGGGAGAGGGUUGGGCUGAAAGGUAUGGGGGUAUAGAGGGGGGUAGUGUUAGAGUAUUACAAAUUAAAUUAAUUAUUAUUAUUAUUAUUAUUAUUAUUAUUAUUAUUAGUCAUUUUUACUCUUGUGUGUUGGUUUAGAGAGAAAGACCACCAGAACGAAGCAUUUGGUUGUGACAAGAGAAGUUUUACUGGUAAAUAGCAACACAAAUACAGCUUGACUUGACUUCACACAGAGUUCAGUCGCGCCAGGCUGGAGAAUGCAUUCUGGUACACAAAAAAAAAAAGUCAGUCGUUUAAGAGCCAGAUCCACUGAGGUUGCUUCCUGGGGGGGCCUCCCGGGUAUACGCCUCUCUGGGACUGUAGCACAACAUAUUCUGAAAUAGUAAUUAAUUUCUGGGUGACAAUCAUGGCUUUGUGAACACCUCGACUCCACUUCUGCAGAUGGUCGUUAUCUGCUCUGCGCCAGGCUAAGAGGCCACUGACUUUGACCUUGGACCGGCCAGCUAAACUGAAGCAGAUGACUCCCUGUUUCCUCAGGCCCCUUGUCUGCACACCACACUGUGUCCUAAUCCAUUCUUGUGUACUGGUAAAA
Molecule: long non-coding RNA, 687 nt
Organism: Clupea harengus (Atlantic herring)
Lineage: Eukaryota; Metazoa; Chordata; Actinopteri; Clupeiformes; Clupeidae
Source: Ensembl